Molecule: transfer RNA, 68 nt
Filed under: Salmo salar (Atlantic salmon)
Lineage: Eukaryota; Metazoa; Chordata; Actinopteri; Salmoniformes; Salmonidae
Rfam family: tRNA
About the family: Transfer RNA (tRNA) molecules are approximately 80 nucleotides in length. Their secondary structure includes four short double-helical elements and three loops (D, anti-codon, and T loops).
Source: Rfam by way of RNAcentral
CCCCGUAGCUCAGUUGGUAGAGCAUGGUGUUUGCAAUGCCAGGGUUGUGGGUUCAAUUCCCACGGGGG